RNAcentral lists this ribosomal RNA (429 nucleotides) under Acidobacteriota bacterium. RNAcentral describes it as "Acidobacteria bacterium partial 16S ribosomal RNA". It matches the Rfam family "Bacterial small subunit ribosomal RNA", at positions 355 to 776 of the family's 1533-position model. Lineage: Bacteria; Pseudomonadati; Acidobacteriota. The record is from RNAcentral.
UGGGGAAUUUUGGACAAUGGGGGAAACCCUGAUCCAGCCAUCCCGCGUGUGCGAUGAAGGCCUUCGGGUUGUAAAGCACUUUUGGCAGGAAAGAAACGUCAUGGGUUAAUACCCCGUGAAACUGACGGUACCUGCAGAAUAAGCACCGGCUAACUACGUGCCAGCAGCCGCGGUAAUACGUAGGGUGCAAGCGUUAAUCGGAAUUACUGGGCGUAAAGCGUGCGCAGGCGGUUCGGAAAGAAAGAUGUGAAAUCCCAGAGCUCAACUUUGGAACUGCAUUUUUAACUACCUGGCUAGAGUGUGUCAGAGGGAGGUGGAAUGCCGCGUGUAGCAGUGAAAUGCGUAGAUAUGCGGAGGAACACCGAUGGCGAAGGCAGCCUCCUGGGAUAACACUGACGCUCAUGCACGAAAGCGUGGGGAGCAAACAGG